GACGAACGCUGGCGGCGUGCUUAACACAUGCGAGUCGUACGGAAAGGCCCUGCUUGCAGGGUACUCGAGUGGCGAACGGGUGAGUAACACGUGGGUGAUCUGCCCUGCACUUCGGGAUAAGCCUGGGAAACUGGGUCUAAUACCGGAUAGGAGCCAUUUUUAGUGUGAUGGUUGGAAAGUUUUUUCGGUGUAGGAUGAGCUCGCGGCCUAUCAGCUUGUUGGUGGGGUAAUGGCCUACCAAGGCGGCGACGGGUAGCCGGCCUGAGAGGGUGGACGGCCACAUUGGGACUGAGAUACGGCCCAGACUCCUACGGGAGGCAGCAGUGGGGAAUAUUGCACAAUGGGCGCAAGCCUGAUGCAGCGACGCCGCGUGGGGGAUGACGGCCUUCGGGUUGUAAACUCCUUUCGCUAGGGACGAAGCUUUUUGUGACGGUACCUAGAUAAGAAGCACCGGCUAACUACGUG
This 465-nucleotide ribosomal RNA is filed under the name uncultured bacterium. RNAcentral describes it as "partial 16S ribosomal RNA". It matches the Rfam family "Bacterial small subunit ribosomal RNA", at positions 28 to 507 of the family's 1533-position model. The record is from RNAcentral.